This 845-nucleotide long non-coding RNA is filed under the name Panax ginseng (ginseng). Its description in RNAcentral is "long non-coding RNA (PGIN_LNC015312)". The stretch from base 71 to 196 matches the Rfam family "MIR6135 microRNA precursor family". Lineage: Eukaryota; Viridiplantae; Streptophyta; Magnoliopsida; Apiales; Araliaceae. The record is from RNAcentral.
UUUGACCAUUGAAAUGAAAAGACAAGAAAAAACGAGUUGGGAUCCAAUAUACAGAGGUAAAGUGGUUAGUAUGAAGUUUAUUUUGCGGUAAGUUGAUCAAUUGACCAAUAGAAUACUGACACGCAGGCAGACGAUGUUGUAUGUGUGUUAGUAUUCUAUUGGCCAAUUAACUAACUUACCAAAAAAAUAACUUCAUGCUAACCUGAUCCCUUGUUUAGUAUAUUGUUAUUUGUAAACAUGGGAUAAUUAAAGGGAGUAAACAUUUAGUAAAAACAACGGCCCUUAAUUGCCUCAUACACACUUCAUAUAUAUGGUUGAGCAAACUAAAAUAGAGGAGAAAACGUGAUUGAUUAGAAAGGGGAGGCCGGGAGGGGAGUCAUAGUUCAAUUUUUCUCUGUUUUGAAUUUUCAUUUAUUUAUUUUGACACUUUAUUUAAAAUAAUCCAUCAAUGACGAGUAUAUUAAAUAUAAUAAUUUUAUUCACAAAGUAUUCUAAAAAUAUAUUAAAUUCAAUAAAGAAUAUAAUUCUAAUGAAAUUAAUUUAACCAAUGAUCGACAAUCUAGGAGGUCUUGAAACCAUGUAGGAUUUUUAUGUCUAAUAACUCUGGGAAGAGACAACUCCCAUACUAUUAAGUUAUUUUAUUAUAAAUUUACAAGAUUUUGAAAUAUAAUAAAUAUGUUGAUAGCUACACAUGGAGUAUCAUUUUUAGAUUAAAGUGGAAUUUGAAAGAUAGCUACAUAUUUGGUGGGAUGGGUUAAAAGGUAGAGAGAGCCCUAGCCCUAGCCCUAGCCCUAGGAAUGAUCGAUCCUCUUAGAGAUAACAUAACAUGCCUUGAUGCCAAUGCC